GUAGAAAUCGUUGGUCCGAACAGGAGGAAACUGUAAUAGCCCAGGAAAUAAUUAAAAACUAUGAUGUCCUGUUCGGCCCAAUGACCGGUUGUGGCGCACUCAAAAUUGGAGAGGUUCGAAGGAGAGGCUGGGAAGCCGUGGCAAAUGUUCUAAACUGCCAAUUUUCCACCUAUAAGCGCGCAGGUUCAGAGGUGAAGAAAAAAUACUAUAACAUGAAAGACAAAACAAAGACAAAAAAUGAUGAGAUGAGGAGGC
Molecule: long non-coding RNA, 255 nt
Organism: Dreissena polymorpha
Lineage: Eukaryota; Metazoa; Mollusca; Bivalvia; Myida; Dreissenidae
Exons: 3
Source: RefSeq, a predicted model, not a curated record